RNAcentral lists this unclassified non-coding RNA (381 nucleotides) under fungal sp. RNAcentral's name for it is "partial internal transcribed spacer region". The stretch from base 1 to 46 matches the Rfam family "Eukaryotic small subunit ribosomal RNA", at positions 1786 to 1831 of the family's 1831-position model. Lineage: Eukaryota; Fungi. The record is from RNAcentral.
AAGUCGUAACAAGGUUUCCGUAGGUGAACCUGCGGAAGGAUCAUUAACACGUAUCCAACGUUAAACCCCCUGUGAACCUUCAUUGUACGAGUUACAUCCACGUCAUAAACCGGCAAUCUCUGGUAAAUCAUCGCCGAACAGUUUUGAUUCAGAGACCUCUGGGAAGGGUGUACGGUAGUGCGAGGCAAUUGACCUGGCAUUCCUCUGCUUGUUAGUGUCUGAAAGUGUCACUAGCUAUGUACGGAUGGCGCAGUAACGAUCGCUGGAGGCCGACACGGCCGGCGACCAGGUCACUGGGCUACGGCCCCCCUGAUCACCUGCGCUGAGGUGCGGCCACCCCUAAUGCUUGAACAACUGUUAACAAUGGAUAUCUUGGUUCUC